GACGAACCGUGCGAACGUUAUUCGGAAUCACUGGGCUUAAAGGGCGCGUAGGCGGGUCGGUAAGUCAGGGGUGAAAUCCCACGGCCCAACCGUGGAAGUGCCUCUGAUACUGCCGGCCUCGAGGGGGAUAGGGGCGUGCGGAACUCAGGGCGGAGCGGUGAAAUGCGUAGAUAUCCCGAGGAACACCGGUGGCGAAGGCGGCUUCCUGGACCGACACUGACGCUGAGGCGCGAAAGCUAGGGGAGCAAACGGG
Molecule: ribosomal RNA, 253 nt
Filed under: uncultured bacterium
Lineage: Bacteria
Description: partial 16S ribosomal RNA
Rfam family: Bacterial small subunit ribosomal RNA
Source: RNAcentral